Molecule: long non-coding RNA, 962 nt
Filed under: Sorghum bicolor (sorghum)
Lineage: Eukaryota; Viridiplantae; Streptophyta; Magnoliopsida; Poales; Poaceae
Description: long non-coding RNA (SBIC_LNC010415)
Source: RNAcentral
UUUGCUACCAAAGGUGAUAUCUUUUAUACUACGUUCGUUAUAUAAUUUAUGCAUUGUCUUUUGAUAUUACCCCUUAUUUGUAGCUAUAUGUGAGAUUUGGCUUCUAACACUCACAUAUGGUGCAUAUCUGAUUUUGUCCUUAAAAUCGGGUAUUACAAGUACAUGAUAGUGAUGGUAAAAAUGUAUAGGUGAUAAUAAAACUUACUUCUCAUUGCUCCUCAUAUUGCUACCUCUCCUCUUCUUUGAUCUUUGCUUUGGGAGAACGUGGGCUAUCUUUUUUCUUUUUUUCAGGUGGGUAGUAGAUACCCCAAAUUCUACUGUCGGACACUUGUCCAUUUUUUCCACUCAAGUGGCCAUCUUUGUACCCCUAAUUCUACUCCGGACACUUGUCCAUUUUUACCUCUCAUCUCACUCUUUUUUCUUUCUUUUCCGAGGUUCCGGGCACUUGCCCCUUUUUAUUUCCUCGCAUAUUUUUGCAUAACCCAUGCCUCUUUUGCAUAGAAUCUUUUUAGAGAGAGAGAAAAACAAUAUUUGGGACAGUGAGUGAUAAUAUUUUUUUAGCAGUUUUAAUGAAUGGUGGUGAAUGGUGUGUGUAAGUGAAUAUCUUAAUUUAACCACAUGAAAAGCUCCUAAGGGUCUACACAGCUCGAUCAAACUCAAUGUAAAUAUAGUAAAAGAUGUUAUAGCAAGUAUGGCUGUGGUAGGUAGUUUGUAAUGCUAGGAACUCAUCAUGUGAUUUAUAAGUUUUCAAAAUAAAUCUCCAGAACUUAGUGUAGUAGGAACAAGAUAAACAGCAGGUCAAACUUUAUAUUAUGUCCUUUUGCUUACCUAGACUUUAGUUUUAUGCUUCCCAUAGAUAGUAAUUUCAGUUUUAGUAAUUCCUGGAAGAACACUAAUAUAAAAAGCUAGGUACUUGUAACAGAGCAACUGUUCAUCAUUUCCAUCAUGCAUCUUUUUGGUCU